RNAcentral lists this unclassified non-coding RNA (171 nucleotides) under uncultured Papiliotrema. RNAcentral describes it as "sequence contains ITS2". Lineage: Eukaryota; Fungi; Basidiomycota; Tremellomycetes; Tremellales; Tremellaceae. The record is from RNAcentral.
AAUCUCAACCCUCCCAGGUUUUUGACCUGGCUGGGCUUGGACAUGGGCGUCUGCCAGCAAUGGCUCGCCUUAAAUGACUUAGUGGAACAUCCCACAUCAGUGUUAGACGUAAUAAGUUUCGUCUCUCCUUGUGGUGAUGACUGCUCAUAAUCUGCCAUCGUGCACUUUUGA